UGGGAAUGCAGCCCAAAGCGGGUGGUAAACUCCAUCCAAGGCUAAAUACUAGCACGAGUCCGAUAGCGAAGAAGUACCGCGAGGGAAAGUUGAAAAGAACUUUGAAGAGAGAGUUCAAGAGUACGUGAAACCGCUGAGAGGCAAACUGGUGGAGCUGAAAUGGUCUUGAGGAAUUCAGCCCUUCCUGCUAGAGUUGACGUCGGUUGUGAGAUCUCACGACUCCGCUGGCGGCAUCUUCGUGAAGGAUAGGUGCACUUUCUUCUUGAUCGGACCACGACCAGCGACUUGCUUGCCUGACAUGGGUCGGAAGGUAGCGUUGGCUUCGGCGAACGUGUUAUAGCCGCCUAUUCGGUAGUUGAGCGAGGCGUUGGAUGCGAUGAGUUGGCGCUUGCCCUCUGGGCUCGUACGUUGCCUCUUUCAGGCGUGUCGCCGAUUUCACUGCCUUUGGCAGGGGUGUCGAAGAUGUGUCGGUUAGAAUGGUGGCCUCUGCGAUUGGCGUCGAAAGUCUGUGGUUGUGAAGUAGGCAGUCCACCUGACCCGUCUUGAAACACGGACCAAGGAGUCUAACAUGUGCGCGAGUCAUUGGGCUCUACGAAACCUAAAGGCGAAGUGAAAGUAAAGAUCCAUUUCCAUGGAUUGAGGUGGGAUCCUGAGUCACGUGCUCGGGCGCACUACCGGCCCGUUCGACAUGUCUUCAUGCGGGCGGAGCAAGAGCGUACACGUUGGGACCCGAAAGAUGGUGAACUA
RNAcentral lists this ribosomal RNA (747 nucleotides) under Notocomplana hagiyai. Its description in RNAcentral is "partial large subunit ribosomal RNA". It matches the Rfam family "Eukaryotic large subunit ribosomal RNA", at positions 275 to 833 of the family's 3401-position model. Lineage: Eukaryota; Metazoa; Platyhelminthes; Polycladida; Notocomplanidae. The record is from RNAcentral.